CCCAACCACAGCCACUUCAGGUCCAUGACUUCCAAAUGUCUUUCCUUAGACAAUUUCUAGACAUAGUAAGGACAACUAGUCAACCAUGACUGACACGUACCUCAAACAAUGCUAAGUGACUUGGAAAUGGCCACACAGCCAGGUUCAAUGUGGGAACCGGGAUUUUGGUCUCUUCACACUGCAACAGAGCUGCACCAAGCCCCAGCCUCUGUGGGGACCACAGGAUUCAUUCUACACCCAUGUGGAUUUAGCUGUCUAAGAAGAUGCUUGAUUUCCAGUGCCUGGGCGAGGAGCCAGGACUUCUUCCACGGGGUUUCCCCAGCACCAAGCAGAGGAUAAGAGUCCAGUAACAUUUGCUCCAGCUGAGAUGGAAAAGCUGACAUCAUUCACCUCACAUGCCAUAAGAAUGACUUCUACCAAACGAUGAAUAAAACAUGAUUGUUUUACAUAAA
Molecule: non-coding RNA, 452 nt
Organism: Peromyscus maniculatus bairdii (prairie deer mouse)
Lineage: Eukaryota; Metazoa; Chordata; Mammalia; Rodentia; Cricetidae
Source: RefSeq, a predicted model, not a curated record